GUUCUUACAGGUUGGUCGGGUGGUGCAUUUGCAGGUGGAGUGCGCUGAGCGGCGUGGGCCAGCGGUUGGAGGCGCACCAAGAGGCCUUCCCCUCACGGGGAUGGAACCAGGGCGCGUGGAAGACUGUUUGGCCUGCGCACCCAAGGGCGACGGCUUACGCGCGUCGUCUCCGCCGCAAUUCCGACUCGUAACGGUCGCAUGCGACACGUGCUUGGCGGGGUGGCGGUUGGGGCGGCGUGCCCGCUUGCCCGGCUCGGCGUAAAAGUUGGUCAUCUCUCCGACCCGUCUUGAAACACGGACCAAGGAGUUUAACGUAUACGCGAGUCAUUGGGCGGCAAACCCAAAGGCGCAAUGAAAGUGAAUUGACAUGCGAGCACCCAUUUGAAUGGGUUGCGCAGCAUGACCCCGUCCCGACCGCUCGCGGUGGGGCGGAGGCAGAGCGUAUGCGCUGAGACCCGAAAGAUGGUGAACUAUUCCUGAGCAGGACGAAGCCAGAGGAAACUC
This 504-nucleotide ribosomal RNA is filed under the name Malenchus pachycephalus. Its description in RNAcentral is "eukaryotic LSU rRNA". It matches the Rfam family "Eukaryotic large subunit ribosomal RNA", at positions 575 to 864 of the family's 3401-position model. The record is from RNAcentral. Lineage: Eukaryota; Metazoa; Nematoda; Chromadorea; Rhabditida; Tylenchidae.